AUUGAACGCUGGCGGCAGGCCUAACACAUGCCAGUCGAGCGAGCGGCGGACGGGUGCGUAAUGUCUGGGAAACUGCCUGAUGGCGGGGGAUAACUACUGGAAACGGUAGCUACUACCGCAUACCAUCAGAUGUGCCCAGAUGGGAUUAGCUAGUAGGUGGGGUAACGGCUCACCUAGGCGACGCUCCCUAGCUGGUCUGCGAGGCUGACCAGCCACGCGGGAACGGAGACACGGUCCAGACGCCUACGGGAGGCAGCAGUGGGGAAUAUUGCACAAUGGGCGCAAGCCUGAUGCAGCCAUGCCGCGUGUGUGAAGAAGGCCUUCGGGUUGUAAAGCACGUUCAGCGGGGAGGCGUUACCCGCAGAAGAAGCACCGGCUAACUCCGUGCCAGCAGCCGCGGUAAUUC
RNAcentral lists this ribosomal RNA (406 nucleotides) under uncultured bacterium. RNAcentral's name for it is "partial 16S ribosomal RNA". It matches the Rfam family "Bacterial small subunit ribosomal RNA", at positions 28 to 526 of the family's 1533-position model. The record is from RNAcentral.